RNAcentral lists this long non-coding RNA (832 nucleotides) under Nicotiana tabacum (common tobacco). RNAcentral's name for it is "long non-coding RNA (NTAB_LNC010229)". Lineage: Eukaryota; Viridiplantae; Streptophyta; Magnoliopsida; Solanales; Solanaceae. The record is from RNAcentral.
UAAAAUUUGAUCUUGAGUCUUAGCUGAUUUUGCUGUGGACCCCGAUCUAAAUCUUGAUGCUCGCAAGCUGUAGGUGCUGAUUCUUUCUUCAUCAUUGGAUCAAGGUGGGACAGGCGAAUCUUGUGACUUCAAUUAUUUCUUGAGCAGUCCGCAUCUUCCUCCGUUUGAACCUUUUGAAUUCACUCCUUUUGUUAUUUUUCUUCUUUCUUUAUUAUGAAUUGAGACUCAUUCUUUCGGUCAUCUCGAACCCUGUGUCUCGAGGUACAACCUGCUCAGACACAAAAAACAAAAAAACGAACGAAACUUUUCUGCCCUAGUUUUCGUUAGGAAAUUUUCGUGAGUUAUUUGCAACAAAAUCUAAACUAUUAAGGGGAUGGAGCCUUAUAUCUAAAAUGUCAACUCAGGGAUUGGGGCCCUAGUGUUGGAGAAAAGGCGACUAGGGAAUGAGGCCCUAUGUCUAAAAGGCUCAACUCAGGGAUUGGAGCCCUAAUGUUAGCAAAAGAGUCGACUAGGGAAUGGAUGCCCUAUGUCUAAAAGGCUCAACUCAGGGAUAUGAGCCCUAAUGUUGGUAAAAGGCGACUAGGGAAUGGAGGCCAUAUGUCUAAAAGGCUCAACUCAGGUAUUGGAGCCCUAAUGUUGGCAAAAGGCGAUUAGGGAAUGGAGGCCCUAUGUUUAAAAGGCUCAACGCAGGGAUUGGAGCCCUAAUGUUGGCAAAAGGCGAUUAGGGAAUGGAGGCCCUAUGUCUAAAAGGCUCAACUUAGGGAUUGGAGCCCUAAUGUUGGCAAAAGAGUAACAGAUUGAGGUUGGGAAUCUAAGCUAUCAUUUUGUAUAG